AUAUUUGGUAGAAUCAUAACCAUAGAAUACGACCCUAAUUGAAAUGCAUACAUUUGUCUCAUACACUAUGGGGAUGGUGAGAAUAGAUAUACUUUACAUCCCAGAGGGGCUAUAAUUGGAGAUACUAUUGUUUCUGGUACAAAAGUUCCUAUAUCAAUGGGAAAUGCCCUACCUUUGAGUGCGGUUUGA
Molecule: ribosomal RNA, 189 nt
Filed under: Triticum aestivum (bread wheat)
Lineage: Eukaryota; Viridiplantae; Streptophyta; Magnoliopsida; Poales; Poaceae
Description: partial small subunit ribosomal RNA
Source: RNAcentral